GAUGAACGCUGGCGGCGUGCCUAACACAUGCAAGUCGUACGAGCUCGAUCUUCGGAACGGGUUAGUGGCGCACGGGUGAGUAACACGUAGGUGACCUACCCCAGAGUGGGGGAUAACUUCUCGAAAGAGAGGCUAAUACCGCAUACACUCGGUCAUUCAUUUGGCCGAGCAAAGCUCCGGCGCUUUGGGACGGGCCUGCGUCCGAUUAGCUAGUUGGUAGGGUAAUGGCUUACCAAGGCUUUGAUCGGUAGCUGGUCUGAGAGGACGAUCAGCCACACUGGCACUGACACACGGGCCAGACUCCUACGGGAGGCAGCAGUGAGGAAUAUUGGGCAAUGGGCGAAAGCCUGACCCAGCAACGCCGCGUGAGGGAUGAAGGCCUUCGGGUUGUAACCUCUUUCUGGGAGAAGAGACAAGGACGGUAUCCCAGGAAUAAGUCUCGGCUAACUACGUGCCAGCAGCCGCGGUAAU
RNAcentral lists this ribosomal RNA (471 nucleotides) under uncultured bacterium. Its description in RNAcentral is "bacterial SSU rRNA". It matches the Rfam family "Bacterial small subunit ribosomal RNA", at positions 28 to 524 of the family's 1533-position model. The record is from RNAcentral.